RNAcentral lists this long non-coding RNA (789 nucleotides) under Homo sapiens (human). Its description in RNAcentral is "HSALNT0282231". The record is from RNAcentral. Lineage: Eukaryota; Metazoa; Chordata; Mammalia; Primates; Hominidae.
UUUUAUUCUAGGUUUGAUGAAGAAUGAACAGUCAUGGAGAAAUAUGAUAGGACAAAGAAUAUUAUCUAAUGGUAAUAAAUGGGGCAGGGACUUAACGAGGCCUGUUUGUUUGAAUUUUUCUCUGUGUUCCUCCAUUUUCAGAGAUAAGGAUGCUUUUUCCUUCCCUGUAGGUCUAAGGAGGGCAUCUGUCAGAUGAGGGUCAUAUAACCUACUUUAGGGGAAGGUCAGUGUAUUAGUUGGUUUUCAUGCUGCUGAUAAAGGCAUACCUGGACUGGGCAAUUUAUAAAAGAAAGAGGUUUAAUGGACUUACAGUUCCACGUGGCUGGGGAGGCCUCACAAUCAUGUUGGAAAACAAGGAGGAGCAAGUCACAUCCUACGUGGAUGGUGGCAGGCAAAGAGAGAGAAUGAGAGCCAAGCAAAACGGGCUUCCCCUUAUCAAACCAUCAGAUCUCAUGAGACUCAUUCACUAUCACAAGAACAGUGCAGGAAAGACUCGCCCCCAUAAUUCAAUCACCUCCCACUGGGUUCCUCCCAUGACAUGUGGGAAUUGUGGGAGUUACAAUUCAAGAUGAGAUUUGGGUGGAGACACAGCCAAACCGUCUCAGUCAGAGAGUCCUUCCUAGGUUUUAUAAUCCACUUCAGGGGAGAAGUAUGGGGAAAGAUUUCUUUCUUAGGUAGCAGCAGCAGGAGACCUGGUGGAGGACCUUCAGUCUAGAGAAGACCAGUACCAGGCCAUCCGGUCUAUAGGUAAAGAGCAGAUGCCUCCCACAGAGCUGUGCUCCACAGAAG